Molecule: ribosomal RNA, 445 nt
Filed under: uncultured bacterium
Lineage: Bacteria
Description: partial 16S ribosomal RNA
Rfam family: Bacterial small subunit ribosomal RNA
Source: RNAcentral
GUAGGGAAUAUUGGGCAAUGGAUGCAAGUCUGACCCAGCCAUCCCGCGUGCCGGAAGAAGGCCCUCAGGGUUGUAAACGGCUUUUGACGGUGAAGAAUCGACAGGAUGCGUCCUGUUUUGACGGUAGUCGUUGAAUAAGCACCGGCUAACUCCGUGCCAGCAGCCGCGGUAAUACGGAGGGUGCGAGCGUUGUCCGGAUUUAUUGGGUUUAAAGGGUGCGUAGGCUGGAAGGUCAGUCAGCGGUGAAAAGCUAUCGCUUAACGAUAGUCUUGCCGCAGAUACUUCCUUUCUUGGAUGAGGAGGAGGCCACUGGAACGGAUGGUGUAGCGGUGAAAUGCAUAGAUAUCAUCCAGAACACCGAUUGCGAAGGCAGGUGGCUGUACCUUAAUCGACGCUGAUGCACGAAAGCAUGGGGAGCAAACAGGAUUAGAUACCCGGGUAGUCC